GGAGCGAACCAGAAGCUGAAGAAGAUCGAAAGCGGCAGCCAGCCACCGUCGCCGCCCGUUCCGCCACCCCGCGUCCGCCGCUCGCCGCCGUGCGCCGCCUGCCCUCUCCUCCGCCCAGGCGUCCCUUCCCCAUGCGAGACAGCUCUGCUCCGCCUCUGUCCAGCUCGAUCCGGCCACCUCCGGCCACCGCCUACCUCCGUCCGGCCACCUCGCAGCUCCCCGGCGUCCCCCUCACCUUCCGCCGGCCUUCCCUCGCCGUUUUGGCCGCCGGAGCAGCCCCGGCCAGCCCCGACCAGCAACCCACGAAAUGGGUUUCCAGAGGCUUUAGGCCCGCUUUUGGGCCGUUUCCGGGCCCCGGAUCCGUGAGUCGCUUUGGGAACAAUCGUUCCUCGCGUCGCCGCCAUCGGAUUGAUCCGAUUUGCGCGCGAUUUGGAUCCCGCUGAAGAGCUGAGAAGGAAGAAUCCGAGAAGGAGGACUCGGAGGCGAAUCUUAAGGA
This is a long non-coding RNA of Eucalyptus grandis, 496 nucleotides long. RefSeq lists it as uncharacterized. The transcript has 2 exons. NCBI's taxonomy places the organism in Eukaryota, Viridiplantae, Streptophyta, Magnoliopsida, Myrtales, Myrtaceae. The record is from RefSeq and is a predicted model, not a curated record.